CGCUAUCACUCCUACGGGAGGCAGCGAGUGGGGAAUAUUGCAACAAUGGGGGAAAACCCUGAUGCAGCCAUGCCGCGUGUGUGAAGAAGGCCUUCGGGUUGUAAAGCACUUUCAGUAGGGAGGAAGGUAGUGUAGUUAACACCUGCAUUAUUUGACGUUACCUACAGAAGAAGCACCGGCUAACUCCGUGCCAGCAGCCGCGGUAAUACGGAGGGUGCGAGCGUUAAUCGGAAUUACUGGGCGUAAAGCGCAUGCAGGCGGCCUGUUAAGUCAGAUGUGAAAGCCCGGGGCUUAACCUCGGAAUUGCAUUUGAAAACUGGCAGGCUAGAGUCUUGUAGAGGGGGUAGAAUUUCAGGUGUAGCGGUGAAAAUGCGUAGAGAUCUGAAGGAAUACCAGUGGCGAAGGCGGCCCCCCUGGACAAAGACUGACGCUCAGAUGCGAAAGCGUGGGGAGCAAACAGGAUUAGAUACCCUGGUAG
RNAcentral lists this ribosomal RNA (478 nucleotides) under uncultured bacterium. Its description in RNAcentral is "bacterial SSU rRNA". It matches the Rfam family "Bacterial small subunit ribosomal RNA", at positions 328 to 793 of the family's 1533-position model. The record is from RNAcentral.